Molecule: non-coding RNA, 125 nt
Organism: Hordeum vulgare subsp. vulgare (domesticated barley)
Lineage: Eukaryota; Viridiplantae; Streptophyta; Magnoliopsida; Poales; Poaceae
Source: Rfam
GAUAUACUCCAUUUGUCCGGAAAUAUUUGUCGGAUAAAUGAAUAAAAAUGGAUGUAUACAAAACUAAAAUACAUCUAGAUACAUCCAUUUCUCCAAUAAAUAUUUCUGGAUGGAGGAAGUAUUAU